AUAAAAGACCUAGAUCACUUGGCUGCCAUGUCAUAAUGAUACUCAAGCAACCUAUUGGAAAUGCCCACAUGAUGAGGAACUAAGACCUCCUGCCAAUGGCCACAACCCUUUUACACUCUUAAAAUUGAGGACCUUAAAGAGCUUCUGCUUAUUACAGUUUUUAUCUAUCAUAUAUCGUAAUAUGCACCCUGUUUUAUACCUGUGGUGAAAAAUCUCCCCCUGUAUUGGAGAAGAGCUAUUAUACAACAGUCAGUUGAUGAUGGACUGGUAUAGAGGUCCCCUCCCAGCUCUCAUUUUCUUUGCUUCUGAGAAAUGUUAUGGACAAGUCGGCCGCAACUCUCCCACGUCCUGUGAGCUCACCAGGUGCAGAUUAUGGAUCGUGCUGCAAGGAUGACACAUAGAACUGAGGCCACUGCACGACUUAGUGCAUGGAGUCCUGUGGCUCCCGCACAAACAGAGAGACUGGGAUGAUACGGGCGUGGCAUGUUGUCCUCCACACAGAGAUCCCUUCUGCCUGCCUUUCUGAGAGCUUCCCUAUAAGAAACUGCACCCAGCGACAACUUGGCCUGGUAAGAACAGGUCUACCAGAUGUUGAAAGUAAAUCUGGUUUGUUCCCCAGAGGAUAAUAUCUAAUUAUCAUGCACACAUAUGCAAUAUAGAAAUUUGAAGUAUGGAAUUAUAUUUGGAGUUUUCUUCAUAC
Molecule: long non-coding RNA, 700 nt
Organism: Acinonyx jubatus (cheetah)
Lineage: Eukaryota; Metazoa; Chordata; Mammalia; Carnivora; Felidae
Exons: 4
Source: RefSeq, a predicted model, not a curated record